RNAcentral lists this ribosomal RNA (229 nucleotides) under uncultured bacterium. RNAcentral describes it as "partial 16S ribosomal RNA". It matches the Rfam family "Bacterial small subunit ribosomal RNA", at positions 91 to 334 of the family's 1533-position model. The record is from RNAcentral.
UAAAGUGGCGUACGGGUGAGUAACACGUGGAUAAUCUGCCUUUUAGUGGGGAAUACCGUUGGGAAACCGACGACAAUACCGCAUAAGCUCGAGAGAGGAAAGCAGCAAUGCGCUGAAAGAGGAGUCCGCGGUCGAUUAGUUAGUUGGCAGGGUAAAAGCCUACCAAGACUGUGAUCGAUAGCCGGCCUGAGAGGGCACACGGCCACACUGGCACUGAAACACGGGCCAG